GACGAACGCUGGCGGCGUGCUUAACACAUGCAAGUCGAACGGUGAAGCGCCUUCCUUUUUGGUGGGUGUGGAUGAGUGGCGAACGGGUGAGUAACACGUGAGUAACCUGCCCCCUUCUUCUGGAUAACCGCAUGAAAGUGUGGCUAAUACGGGAUAUUCUGGGUCUGUCGCAUGAUGGGUCUGGGAAAGAUAUUGUUUCGGUGGGGGAUGGGCUCGCGGCCUAUCAGCUUGUUGGUGGGGUGAUGGGCUACCAAGGCGGGGACGGGUAGCCGGCCUGGGAGGGUGGACGGUCACACUGGGACUGAGACCCGGCCCAGACUCCUACGGGAGGCAGCAGUGGGGAAUAUUGCACAAUGGGCGCAAGCCUGAUGCAGCGACGCCGCGUGAGGGAUGGAGGCCUUCGGGUUGUGAACCUCUUUCGCCAGUGAAGCAGGCCUGCCUCGUUUGUGGGUGGGUUGACGGUAGCUGGAUAAGAAGCGCCGGCUAACUACGUG
RNAcentral lists this ribosomal RNA (494 nucleotides) under uncultured bacterium. RNAcentral's name for it is "partial 16S ribosomal RNA". It matches the Rfam family "Bacterial small subunit ribosomal RNA", at positions 28 to 507 of the family's 1533-position model. The record is from RNAcentral.